RNAcentral lists this ribosomal RNA (500 nucleotides) under uncultured bacterium. Its description in RNAcentral is "partial 16S ribosomal RNA". It matches the Rfam family "Bacterial small subunit ribosomal RNA", at positions 29 to 523 of the family's 1533-position model. The record is from RNAcentral.
AUUGAACGCUGGCGGCAUGCCUUACACAUGCAAGUCGAACGGCAGCGCGGACUUCGGUCUGGCGGCGAGUGGCGAACGGGUGAGUAAUGCAUCGGAACGUACCCUGUUGUGGGGGAUAACUAGUCGAAAGAUUAGCUAAUACCGCAUACGACCUGAGGGUGAAAGUGGGGGACCGCAAGGCCUCACGCAGCAGGAGCGGCCGAUGUCUGAUUAGCUAGUUGGUGGGGUAAAGGCCCACCAAGGCGACGAUCAGUAGCUGGUCUGAGAGGACGAUCAGCCACACUGGGACGGAGACACGGCCCAGACUCCUACGGGAGGCAGCAGUGGGGAAUUUUGGACAAUGGGGGCAACCCUGAUCCAGCAAUGCCGCGUGUGUGAAGAAGGCCUUCGGGUUGUAAAGCACUUUUGUCCGGAAAGAAAUCGCGCUGGUUAAUACCUGGCGUGGAUGACGGUACCGGAAGAAUAAGCACCGGCUAACUACGUGCCAGCAGCCGCGGUAA